RNAcentral lists this microRNA (22 nucleotides) under Panagrellus redivivus. Its description in RNAcentral is "prd-miR-7918c-5p". Lineage: Eukaryota; Metazoa; Nematoda; Chromadorea; Rhabditida; Panagrolaimidae. The record is from miRBase by way of RNAcentral.
AUUUGGCUCUGAAGUCUUGCUG